UUUGAUGAGAGUUUGAUCCUGGCUCAGGAUGAACGCUGGCGGCGUGCCUAAUACAUGCAAGUAGAACGCUGAAGGAAGUGCUUGCACUUCUGGAAGAGUUGCGAACGGGUGAGUAACGCGUAGGUAACCUGCCUGGCAGCGGGGGAUAACUAUUGGAAACGAUAGCUAAUACCGCAUAACAAUGGAUAUUGCAUGAUAUCUAUUUGAAAGAUGCAACUGCAUCACUACCAGAUGGACCUGCGUUGUAUUAGCUAGUAGGUGAGGUAAAGGCUCACCUAGGCGACGAUACAUAGCCGACCUGAGAGGGUGAACGGCCACACUGGGACUGAGACACGGCCCAGACU
This 344-nucleotide ribosomal RNA is filed under the name Streptococcus sp. NLN64. RNAcentral describes it as "bacterial SSU rRNA". It matches the Rfam family "Bacterial small subunit ribosomal RNA", at positions 1 to 337 of the family's 1533-position model. The record is from RNAcentral. Lineage: Bacteria; Bacillati; Bacillota; Bacilli; Lactobacillales; Streptococcaceae.